RNAcentral lists this ribosomal RNA (428 nucleotides) under uncultured archaeon. RNAcentral describes it as "bacterial SSU rRNA". It matches the Rfam family "Archaeal small subunit ribosomal RNA", at positions 474 to 903 of the family's 1478-position model. The record is from RNAcentral.
UACCUGCAGCUCGAGUGGUAACCGCUAUUAUUGGGCCUAAAGCGUCCGUAGCCGGUUUGGUAAAUAUCUGGGUAAAUCGUGAGGCUUAACUUCACGAAUUUCGGAUAGACUGCCAGACUUGGGAUCGGGGGAGGUCAGAGGUACUCCAGGGGUAGCGGUGAAAUGUUGUAAUCCUUGGAGGACCACCGGUAGCGAAGGCGUCUGGCUAGAACGAGUCCGACGGUGAGGGACGAAGCCCUGGGGCGCAAACCGGAUUAGAUACCCGGGUAGUCCAGGGUGUAAACAAUGUGGGCUUUGUAUUGGAGGUCCCACGUGGGCGUCCAGUGCAGAAGAGAAGUUGUUAAGCCCACCGCCUGGGAAGUACGGUCGCAAGGCUGAAACUUAAAGGAAUUGGCGGGGAGCACAGCAACGGGAGGAGCGUGCGGUUU